CUUGAAGUUAUAGUAGAGUAGAUUGAAGCUACAAGUUCUAUCUCUCGGAAGUUACAGUGGAGUGGAUCGAAUCAACAAGACACAGUGGAUUGCAGCAGUACCAAGAAGUCAAGACUCGGCGAGACCCGGCAAAAUUUGACUUUCCUAAAAGUCUUUACUUCAUUACCGUUGCACGACAGUGAGCAAAGAGGGGUAGCUGUAAAACCCAAAUUCUGCCCAGGCCCAUGCAGAUUAAAUAAACAAAAAAAAAACAAACAUAAACAGUCCAGUUACAACAUUAGCACAAAAAUCUAAAGCCCAAUAAGCAGAAACCCAAACCCCUUUAUAGCCCUAAACCCAUGAAAAAAAAGCAAACCCUAACAGCCUAAGCUAGCCGUCGCACGCCCUAACGGCAGCCAAGCGCGCCGCAUCGCCACGUGUG
Molecule: long non-coding RNA, 421 nt
Filed under: Gossypium raimondii (Peruvian cotton)
Lineage: Eukaryota; Viridiplantae; Streptophyta; Magnoliopsida; Malvales; Malvaceae
Description: long non-coding RNA (GRAI_LNC004132)
Source: RNAcentral